UGUUCAGGAGGAUCUGGGUCGGCAGCAUCGGCAGGAAGGGCAGGAACGCGGCCGCGCCGGCCAUGCUGAACAUGUUUCCGAAGUUGCUGCUCGUGCCCAUCAGCAGGUACUUCAUGACGUUGCCGAAGGCCAUCCGCCCCUCGAGCAC
RNAcentral lists this unclassified non-coding RNA (148 nucleotides) under fungal sp. RNAcentral's name for it is "partial internal transcribed spacer region". Lineage: Eukaryota; Fungi. The record is from RNAcentral.